Molecule: ribosomal RNA, 789 nt
Filed under: Pseudarthrobacter sp.
Lineage: Bacteria; Bacillati; Actinomycetota; Actinomycetes; Micrococcales; Micrococcaceae
Description: bacterial SSU rRNA
Rfam family: Bacterial small subunit ribosomal RNA
Source: RNAcentral
UGCAAGUCGAACGAUGAUCUGCGUGCUUGCUGCGGGGAUUAGUGGCGAACGGGUGAGUACACGUGAGUAACCUGCCCUUGACUCUGGGAUAAGCCUGGGAAACUGGGUCUAAUACCGGAUAUGACCUUCCAUCGCAUGGUGGUUGGUGGAAAGCUUUUGUGGUUUUGGAUGGACUCGCGGCCUAUCAGCUUGUUGGUGAGGUAAUGGCUCACCAAGGCGACGACGGGUAGCCGGCCUGAGAGGGUGACCGGCCACACUGGGACUGAGACACGGCCCAGACUCCUACGGGAGGCAGCAGUGGGGAAUAUUGCACAAUGGGCGCAAGCCUGAUGCAGCGACGCCGCGUGAGGGAUGACGGCCUUCGGGUUGUAAACCUCUUUCAGUAGGGAAGAAGCGAAAGUGACGGUACCUGCAGAAGAAGCGCCGGCUAACUACGUGCCAGCAGCCGCGGUAAUACGUAGGGCGCAAGCGUUAUCCGGAAUUAUUGGGCGUAAAGAGCUCGUAGGCGGUUUGUCGCGUCUGCCGUGAAAGUCCGGGGCUCAACUCCGGAUCUGCGGUGGGUACGGGCAGACUAGAGUGAUGUAGGGGAGACUGGAAUUCCUGGUGUAGCGGUGAAAUGCGCAGAUAUCAGGAGGAACACCGAUGGCGAAGGCAGGUCUCUGGGCAUUAACUGACGCUGAGGAGCGAAAGCAUGGGGAGCGAACAGGAUUAGAUACCCUGGUAGUCCAUGCCGUAAACGUUGGGCACUAGGUGUGGGGGACAUUCCACGUUUUCCGCGCCGUAGCUAAC